GUUAAAUCAGCCAGUACUGAAAUUUUUUAGAUAUGCCGUUUGAAUUAACUCUGUGGCCUAAGUCAAAUUACCUAUGAAAACCCCUUAGUCAUCAGUGCUAUGCACCUAAAUUGGAGAAACACAUCUGGUAUUUAAGAGGACAGAUUUAAUGUUAAAUGUGGACUCUUGGAGAAUCUAGACAGCCAACAGCCACUUGUUCAUUCCUGACUUCUUAAAGCUUCCAUUAUUAACAGCUCUGCAUUCCAUUACUCACCACAGAAGAGAUAAAAUAAUCUAAAUUAAAUAUAAAUUAAGUGUGUGUCUGUUUGUGUGUGGUAACCCUUCUAAAUUACUAAAACAGAUUAAUACCAAUUUUUUUUUGUCAAACAUAUAAUCCCACAUUUCUGUUACCUGAUGAGCCAUUUAAACAUUUAUGCAUAUUUUUUUUUUGCCAUUUUUAAUGCAUGCUUUCCUGUAUAAAAGUUUUCUCAUUCAAGAGGGUUGAUGUUAUAACAGUAACUUAAAGGAUAUUAGGAUACCUGUUUUCUCAUGGAACAUUUCUGAAAAUAUCUUCAAUGAUAAAGAUACUUAUUUCUCUAGACAAGUUCUAAAACUGUUAAACAAGAUAGUCUGGGCGUGGUGGCUCACAGCUGUAAUCCCAGCACUUUGGGAGGCCGAGACGGGGUUUCACCGUGUUAGCCAGGAUGGUCUCGAUCUCCUGACCUCGUGAUCCGCCCGUCUCGGCCUCCCAAAGUGCUGGGAUUACAGGCUUGAGCCACCGCGCCCGGCCUAAGUAAUAUUUUUAAGGGUCAGAAAGUUCGAGGGCCUCAUCAGCAGACACUCAUGCUUCUAUUUUUCUUGUUUUAGCCAACAUUUCUGAAACUUUGAGAAAAAACUUUCAUAUAUCUGUAGAAUCCUAAGUUCCUAAAGCAUAUAAUGAAGAACCAAUUCUAUUGUAAUCAUCUGCAGCACUUUUGUGGGUUCUUGUCAUUCUACCAGAGUUAACAGAUGCAUCCUUAACUCAGUUAUGAUAUUCUAAAAGAAAUGUUCAUUCAUGUUCAAAGAAAUUAUCUACAUCCUUUUCUCCUGAAACAAUUACUCCAUCUGCUGAUUUAACCAUGUUUUUAAAGAAAUCUUCAAGUUUCUCUUUUUAUUUGUCCUCGCACACUCAAAUUUUGAUUAUAUUCCAAGAAGACAUGGAAAUUUGAAUAUUUUCUCAAAAUAGGAUGUGCUGUCACAUGACAUAGGAACACUUCAUGCAUCGCAACUGUCUUCUUGAAUAUUCCCAAAUAUUCAGCUUCCAGUUCCUGUUUCAUCUUUGUGAAUUCUUCCUUUGUCAUUGACCCUUCUUCUGCAAGCUUCUGUACUUUUUCCUUUGAAGCAUCAAAAUCAGGUCUUGGUGGUGCUGGUGAAAUGAUGUAACCUGCAUAGUCUUCAUUUUUAACAAAGCAAUCGUGAUGCCAGAUAAAUUGCUUGUGUUGCUGAACAACAGAAAACUCACUUUGUUUAAAAUUUGGCAAUAAACUUUUUGUGUGAACAGUGAAUU
RNAcentral lists this long non-coding RNA (1525 nucleotides) under Papio anubis (olive baboon). Its description in RNAcentral is "lncRNA (ENSPANG00000038535.1)". The record is from RNAcentral. Lineage: Eukaryota; Metazoa; Chordata; Mammalia; Primates; Cercopithecidae.